CAGUAGCCACGGUAAUACGUAGGGUGCAAGCGUUAAUCGGAAUUACUGGGCGUAAAGCGUGCGCAGGCGGUUCGCUAAGACAGAUGUGAAAUCCCCGGGCUUAACCUGGGAACUGCAUUUGUGACUGGCGGGCUAGAGUAUGGCAGAGGGGGGUAGAAUUCCACGUGUAGCAGUGAAAUGCGUAGAGAUGUGGAGGAAUACCGAUGGCGAAGGCAGCCCCCUGGGCCAAUACUGACGCUCAUGCACGAGAGCGUGGGGAGCAAACAGGAUUAGAUACCCGCGUAGUCCCUGUCUCUUAUAC
RNAcentral lists this ribosomal RNA (301 nucleotides) under uncultured bacterium. Its description in RNAcentral is "partial 16S ribosomal RNA". It matches the Rfam family "Bacterial small subunit ribosomal RNA", at positions 509 to 807 of the family's 1533-position model. The record is from RNAcentral.